RNAcentral lists this ribosomal RNA (229 nucleotides) under uncultured bacterium. RNAcentral's name for it is "partial 16S ribosomal RNA". It matches the Rfam family "Bacterial small subunit ribosomal RNA", at positions 15 to 235 of the family's 1533-position model. The record is from RNAcentral.
GAUCAUGGCUUAGGAUGAACGCUAGCUACAGGCUUAACACAUGCAAGUCGAGGGGCAGCGGGAUUGAAGCUUGCUUCAAUUGCCGGCGACCGGCGCACGGGUGAGUAACGCGUAUCCAACCUUCCGUACACUCAGGGAUAGCCUUUCGAAAGAAAGAUUAAUACCUGAUGGUAUGAUGAGAUUGCAUGAUAUCAUCAUUAAAGAUUUAUCGGUGUACGAUGGGGAUGCG